This is a long non-coding RNA of Neoarius graeffei (lesser salmon catfish), 2764 nucleotides long. RefSeq lists it as uncharacterized. The record is from RefSeq and is a predicted model, not a curated record. The transcript is spliced from 3 exons. Lineage: Eukaryota; Metazoa; Chordata; Actinopteri; Siluriformes; Ariidae.
AAAGGCCCUCGCCGGCCCCGGGGCUCGAACCCAGGACCUUCUUGCUGUGAGGCGACAGCGCUAACCACUACACCACCGUGCCGCCCCUUACUGUGCAUAUGACAAUAAAUACUUUGAAACGUUGAAUCUUGAAGAGAAGGCCACCCACCAAAACUCACAGACCAGGCAAGGAGGGCAUUAAUCAGAGAUGCAACAAAGACACCAAAGAUCCACAGCAGAGAUGGGAGGAUCUGUCCAUAGGACCACUUUAAGCCGUACACUCCACAGGGUGGGGCUUUAUGGAAGAGUGGCCAGAAAAAAAGUAAUUGCUUAAGAAAACACAUUUGGAGUUUGCCCAACAGCAUGUGGCAGACUCCCCAAACACAUGGAAGAAGAUUCUUUGGUCAAAUGAGACUAAAAUUGAUCUUUUUGGCCAUCAUGGGAAAUGCCAUUUGUGGCGCAAACCCAACACGCUGAGAACACCAUUCCUACAGUGAAGCAUGGUGGUGGCAGCAUCAUGCUGUGGGGAUGUUUUUCAUCUGCAGGGACAGGAAAGCUGGUCAGGACUGAAGGAAAGAUGGAUGGCACUAAAUACAGGGCAAUUCUGGAGGAGUCGGCCAGAGGUUUGAGACUGGGACAAAGGUUCACGUUCCAGCAGGACAAUGACCCUAAACAUACUGCUAAAGCAACACUCGAAAGAUGGAUGGCACUAAAUACAGGGCAAUUCUGGAGGAGUCGGCCAGAGGUUUGAGACUGGGACAAAGGUUCACGUUCCAGCAGGACAAUGACCCUAAACAUACUGCUAAAGCUACACUGGAGUGGUUUAAAGGGAAAUGUUCAAAUGUCUUGGAAUGGCCGAGUCAAAGCCCAGACUUCAAUCCAAUUGAGAAUCUGUGGCAUAACUUGAAGAUUGCUGUACACCAACACAACCCAUCUAACUUGAAGGAGUUGGAGCAGUUUUGCCUUGAGGAAUGGGCAAAAAUCCCAGGGGCUAGAUGUGCUACAUAGAGACAUACCCCAAGAGACUUGCAGCUGUAAUUGCAGUAAAAGGUGGCUCUACAAAGUAUUGACUUUGGGGGUGAAUACCUAUGCACACUCCAGAUUUCUGUUUUUUCAUCUUAAUUAUUGUUUGUGUCAGAAUAAGACAAUUUUCACCUUUAAAGUUGUAGGCAUGUUGUGUAAAUCAAAUGGUGCUAACCCCCCAAAAAUCCAUUUUAAUUCCAACAUGUAAUGCGCCAAAACAGGGCAAACACAAAGGGGGAUGAAUACUUUUGCAAGACUCUCAGGGAUGUGAUUUUUUUUUCCCGCGAAUUCGCGGAAUUCCGCUUUUUUCACCUCAAAAUAAAAAUAAAAAAUUCCGAUUUUUCGCUCAAAAAUCCGCAUUCAUAUCCUAUUCGUUCCGACUUUCAGUAAUUCCGUCAUUGAGAUGAAACGAGGUACGUGAUUGGCCCAUCGCUCUGUAACAACCAAUGAACGCGCUUGUUAGAUAGCUGUACGUAAGCUCGCUUCAAACGAAGAGUUGAAAGAUGGCAGCCUCCGUGAUCGAGCGUAAAGAUGCACCUGAUCAUCAGUUUGGUGUGCGUUUUUAAAGUAAAUAAACAUGGGGAAGAAGAAAAACAACCCAGCUCAUUCCUUUCCCCAUCAUAAGCCUGUGAGUGGUGAUGGUGCCACUGCACGUGCGACGGAGUGACGAAGGUUGCCGUGGCAACGGGGCCUCGCGCCAUCUGUUGCUUCCUGGAUGCGCAUGCGCACGCUAUGAAAGCUGUGGCGAAAAGGUUAGCAUCGGAGGCUAAACCUUCUGAGGAGAAAAGAAAGGGCGGUUUUUAUUUCAGUUUGUUUUAGUUACGUCCGAAGAAACAGCAGUUUAAAUCACGGCUCUAGUUUACAAAUCAAAAUGGGUACUCAGUGAAAACAAAACAAAAGCUAGAGAGAGGGGGAGCGGUGUAGAGAGAGGGGGAGCGGUGCAGAGAGAGGGGGAGCGGUGGGAGUUUAACCCGGGAAAGUGAGUCUGUGAGGCGGCAGUGAUGCUGGACCCCUCCCCCCUCCUCUCACUUUACCUCAGAGUCUCUGCCAACUUCAUCACAGAUUAUUUCACCUUUUUCACUCGAAGUUAGUUUUAAUUUUCGCUCAAAACUUUUCCCACAGCGUGGAUGUAAGGAAGAGAACUUCCAGUCUACUCCACUGGCACUGCCAUUUUGGAAACCACGUGAUGCGUUGCUGUGUGCUGAUUGAUUGAAAGAGAUGUUUUCCUGUAUCACUGGUGUCCCAGUACUUUGAAAGCCUUUGACUCUGCCGCUGUACGCUGAAUCCUGGUCAUGAAAAUUCUCUUUACCGUCGAUGAUGUCGUACACCGUCUUGGUGUUAUCAUAUUGCCAGAACACAUCCUUUUCAUAGCGACCGGCUGAACACAAGAACACAGAGUCUCCUAGAACAGCUUCAACUGUGGUGAACACACAAUUAUGGAUAUGAACAGAAAGUAAAAGACACCUUUUCAUCACGUUAAAUUGUGAAAUGUAAGUGUUUACCUUUAUGUAUCACAAGCACAAGGGCAAGCAGCUUGCCCUGGGUGGAGCCAGCUUACUGAAAGGGGUGGGCCCUGCUAUCCUCCUAGUGUUUUUCUAGAUUAUGGUACUAAUAUUGUUCUUUCCUAACAGGACAAGAAAAAAAGAGCCGUGAAAAGGACUCUCAGCCCUUCUCUACUGAGGACAUUUCACAAACUUGACCUUAAACAUGCUUACGUGGUAAUAAAAUGUUUUUCAAUAAAACAUCUAACAUGUAGAGUGAA